UCUUUGUGUUGAGAAGCUUAUUGAGUUGGUGACAUAUUGGAUAGAGACAGAGUGGAAAGUGAUAGUUGAGCAUUGUUUUGAUUUUAUUCAAUUGAAAUUAGUUUCUCCAAAGUACAGGAGACGGAGGAGGUAGAUUAUAUAUUGUUUUCUUGGUUUUAGAACUUUAUUUUAGUUAGCAAGACAAAUUGAAAUAAAUUGUACUAACUUUAGUAAGAAGUGCUAACAUUAGCUUGCUACAAGGUCGCAGUUUUCUCCGCCAGGCUGGCUAGCUAAUGCUAACAACAAUGUAUUGGAUUUAUUGUUUAAGAACCCCUUUAAUUUCCCACAUCAGAUUCAAGCAUGUAAUGGACGAACAUCUGCAUAUUCAAACUGCGCAACACAAGGAUAAGCUAAGUCCUCUUCUGUUCCCUGAUUAAGAGGUGAUGACCACUCCACUCCACUACCAUUGUCAACUCUCUCCUGACAUGAACUGAAGCCACGUCUCAUGUGCCUUGCGCAUCCACUGGCACAUUGAAUGUUUCCUCUCCAAGCUCUGAGUAGACCUGUCAAUUUUCUCUAAUUACUUCAAAUCCUGUCCUGCCCUCAGUGGAAGAGUUGAGCUCUUCUCCAAACCCCUGUCCUGCACUGAAGCCUCUGAACACCUCAACCCCUGUCCUGCACUGAAGCCUCAACACCUCAACCCCUGUCCUGCACUGAAGCCUCUGAACACCUCAACCCCUGUCCUGCACUGAAACAUCAACACCUCAACCCCUGUCCUGCACUGAAGCAUCAACACCUCAACCUCUGUCCUGCACUAAAGUCAAGCCUCUGAACACAUCUGAAGGAAAAUAAUAUAAAGAAUGAUAGUAAAAAGCUCUGGAGCACCUUAAAUAAAAUGUUUGGCAAAAAGGCAAACUC
Molecule: long non-coding RNA, 897 nt
Organism: Salmo salar (Atlantic salmon)
Lineage: Eukaryota; Metazoa; Chordata; Actinopteri; Salmoniformes; Salmonidae
Source: RefSeq, a predicted model, not a curated record